CAGUCGCCACGGUAAAACGUAGGUGGCAAGCGUUGCCCGGAAUUAUUGGGCGUAAAGGGCUCGCAGGCGGUUUCUUAAGUCUGAUGUGAAAGCCCCCGGCUCAACCGGGGAGGGUCAUUGGAAACUGGGAAACUUGAGUGCAGAAGAGGAGAGUGGAAUUCCACGUGUAGCGGUGAAAUGCGUAGAGAUGUGGAGGAACACCAGUGGCGAAGGCGACUCUCUGGUCUGUAACUGACGCUGAGGAGCGAAAGCGUGGGGAGCGAACAGGAUUAGAUACCCGCGUAGUCCCUGUCUCUUAUAC
Molecule: ribosomal RNA, 301 nt
Filed under: uncultured bacterium
Lineage: Bacteria
Description: partial 16S ribosomal RNA
Rfam family: Bacterial small subunit ribosomal RNA
Source: RNAcentral